This 468-nucleotide ribosomal RNA is filed under the name uncultured bacterium. RNAcentral describes it as "partial 16S ribosomal RNA". It matches the Rfam family "Bacterial small subunit ribosomal RNA", at positions 28 to 507 of the family's 1533-position model. The record is from RNAcentral.
GACGAACGCUGGCGGCGUGCUUAACACAUGCAAGUCGAACGGAAAGGCCCUGCUUUUGUGGGGUACUCGAGUGGCAAACGGGUGAGUAACACGUGAGUAACCUGCCCUUGACUUUGGGAUAACUUCAGGAAACUGGGGCUAAUACCGGAUAGGAGCUCCUGCUGCAUGGUGGGGGUUGGAAAGUUUCGGCGGUUGGGGAUGGACUCGCGGCUUAUCAGCUUGUUGGUGGGGUAGUGGCUUACCAAGGCUUUGACGGGUAGCCGGCCUGAGAGGGUGACCGGCCACAUUGGGACUGAGAUACGGCCCAGACUCCUACGGGAGGCAGCAGUGGGGAAUAUUGCACAAUGGGCGGAAGCCUGAUGCAGCAACGCCGCGUGCGGGAUGACGGCCUUCGGGUUGUAAACCGCUUUCGCCUGUGACGAAGCGUGAGUGACGGUAAUGGGUAAAGAAGCACCGGCUAACUACGUG